UACGGAAGGCAGCAGUGGGGAAUAUUGCACAAUGGGCGCAAGCCUGAUGCAGCCAUGCCGCGUGUAUGAAAAAGGCCUUCGGGUUGUAAAGUACUUUCAGUCGUGAGGAAGGUGUUAAGGUUAAUAACCUUAGCAAUUGACGUUAGCGACAGAAGAAGCACCGGCUAACUCCGUGCCAGCAGCCGCGGUAAUACGGAGGGUGCGAGCGUUAAUCGGAAUUACUGGGCGUAAAGGGCACGCAGGCGGUUAAUUAAGUUGGAUGUGAAAUCCCCGGGCUUAACCUGGGAAUGGCAUUCAAGACUGGUUAGCUAGAGUCUUGUAGAGGGGGUAGAAUUCCAUGUGUAGCGGUGAAAUGCGUAGAGAUGUGGAGGAAUACCGGUGGCGAAGGCGGCCCCUGGACAAAGACUGACGCUCAUGUGCGAAGCGUGGGGAGCAAACAGGGAUUAGAUACC
Molecule: ribosomal RNA, 452 nt
Filed under: uncultured bacterium
Lineage: Bacteria
Description: bacterial SSU rRNA
Rfam family: Bacterial small subunit ribosomal RNA
Source: RNAcentral